Molecule: transfer RNA, 72 nt
Filed under: Dipodomys ordii (Ord's kangaroo rat)
Lineage: Eukaryota; Metazoa; Chordata; Mammalia; Rodentia; Heteromyidae
Rfam family: tRNA
About the family: Transfer RNA (tRNA) molecules are approximately 80 nucleotides in length. Their secondary structure includes four short double-helical elements and three loops (D, anti-codon, and T loops).
Source: Rfam by way of RNAcentral
GGAGGUAUAGCAAAGUGGUAAAGCACAUGCGUGGCAUGCACAAGGCCCUGGGAUUGAUCCCUAGCACCUCCA